Octodon degus (degu) is the source of this 2715-nucleotide RNA transcript. It is a transcript of the gene named centrosomal protein 44, with no coding region annotated. Lineage: Eukaryota; Metazoa; Chordata; Mammalia; Rodentia; Octodontidae. The transcript has 10 exons. The record is from RefSeq and is a predicted model, not a curated record.
GGAGCGCUCGCGGAGGCUUGCGGGUGUGCGCAGAGCGGCGUCGCACGGAGCGGGCAGAGCCGGGGCGCUCAGACGUGGGGCGCUCGGGCGCUCGGGCGGGCGGCUGCGGGCUGGCUCCGGGAGCGUCCUGCGGCUGAGCCUCGUCGCCUGCUGCAAUGAACUCUCCGAGGGAGAGUCGCACGCUGCUCGCGUUUCCUUGCUUGCAUGUUCCUGCUGUUUCAAGCAUUUCUCCAUCUUCCUAUCUGUCUUUCGAUCUUAAUUCUUAUUUGAUCUGCAAUUGUGGCUGACCUAGACUGGUUUCCUCGCAUGACCUCAAACCUUUCGGCAAGUUUUGUGUGAAAAAUUAUUUUAAGAGUUGGAGCUGAGUCUAAUGUGAAAUGAUGGCAACAGGUGACUUAAAAAGAAGCUUACGGAAACUAGAGCAAGUACUUCGCCUGUUAAAUUAUCCUAAAGAGGUGGAUUAUGUUGGUCUGAUAAAGGGAGACACAGCAGCCACGCUGCCCAUCAUCAGCUAUUCUCUGACCUCAUACUCUCCCUAUGUGACAGAGCAUCUCAUGGAAUGCAAUGUCGAGCUCAUAGCGAAGAAUGACCUGCGCUUCACAGAUACUGUCUAUAAGCUUCUUCGUGAUCAAUUUGAUUAUAAACCAAUUUUGUCAAAAAAGCAGUUUAUGCAACAUGGGUUUGCAGAAUGGAAAAUCGAAAUUGCUUGUGAUGUUUUGAAUUGUGUGAUGAAAAAGCACAAGGAAUUGUCUGGUGUUGAUAAGACUUCUUUACAACUAAGAAAGAAAAUCAUUUCUCACUCAGAACCUUCAUCAAGCAAUGAGAAAACACCUGUGGAAACUGUCGGCAUUGAUGUUGCUGGCAGAUGUAUGACUUCAGGAAAGAAGAAAGCGCUGGUGAUCCGCCACCUGUAUAAUGAAAGUGAUGGUAACCUUGCUGACGAAGAGACUGAAAGCUCAGUCACAGAAGACACUGGAGUAUGUGAUGUGUCCGACUUACAGGCUUCUGAAAUAAAGGUUGCUGAACUACAGGUCCCUACAACCAAAGCUGAGGAGGAAGAUAUAAAGAGUAAUCCUGAGAUUACUGCACUGCGAACUAUGCUUGCCGAAUGUCAAGAAAAACUUAGUAAGUUGACUUGGAUAGAGAAAAGGCUAGACUCUUUGGAAGAGACAAUGAAAGGGAAAGUGAUAGUAGAUGAAAAGACCUGGACCAAUCUUCUAAGUCGGAUCACUCUUCUGGAAACUGAAAUGCUUUUGUCUAAAAAGAAUGAAUAUGUGGAGUUUAAUGUAGUGAGUGACAACUAUGCUGCCAGUAGUGACGUAGAUCUGGUGACUCUUGAUGGAAAAGUCAAAGAGGAGAGUCUAGCACAUGUCCCUCCGUCCUCUGGCUAUAGUACAGAGUCGACAAAUUCAACUCCCAGAGCCUCAACUAUUACUUACUGUGGUUUGAACGAUGUCUCAGAGGUAAGAAAAACUGACACCUGCCUAGAUGAUUUCUUUCAGAGGUUAAGAAAACAUUGAUGUUAGUCAUAUAUUAUUAGCAAUGAUAAUGGCAAAGCUGUAAGUCUUAAUCUCAGAAAUUAUGAGCAAAUAGCACUUAAUGAAAUAUUUCAGACUGUUUUACAUGUUCAUGGUCCAUUUUUGAGGAUGAGUUACUUUAAGAAAUCACCUAAAUUUGUUGCUUUUUAAAUUAAAGGAAACAACAAUCCAGAAAAUGGAAAGGAUGAAAAAAAUGUUUGAAGAAACUGCAGAGUUAUUAAAAUGCCCAAGUUACUAAUUAUAGAAUUUUCUGCAUGAGCUUCUGUAGAACUUUGGCUACUGUACAUGUUGUAUAUUUUAAGAACUUUCUAUAUAAUUUUAAUGUACUGUAAUAUUUUUAUUAAGAAUUUGUAUCCAUUUGGUAUGUGAGCUUUUCUAUUCAUUAUUGAAUAAAUACUUUAGUAUUUUUGAGCUAUUCUUAUACUGGUUUACUCUCAUUUUUCUUAGGAAAAACUUACGUUCUAGUCCAUUGCUUUUACAGAAUGAAGUCAUUACAGCAAGCACUGUAUUUUUGUGUUGACAUUUGUUGGCACUGUGCUAAGUAAUAUGUUUUUUAAAGUACAGGCUUGGGGAUCAUAGUUUACAUCCUGUUGGAAGCGUUCCAGCUGGGGCCUCAGAUCGUACCCCAGGGGCUCAGGCGCAUGGUCUUGCCAUCUGUGCUGACGAGUACGUUGCAGUGAAAAGUCAGAAGUGCUCAUUGACAAAUAAAACAAAAACACAGCUAUUUCAUGCUCAAAAAGUGGUAAUAUUAACAUUGAGAAAGUAAGGAUGAAAUUCUCCUUUUGCAGUGAAACGGGCCCGCCGCUCACUGACACGCAGAUGGAGUCACUUCGUGCUCUCGGGCUUUUAAGAGCAGGAGCGCCGACACAGCUGGUGGCAGCCGGUGCUAGAGGAUGCGCAGUGAGGCUUUCCUUUCUGUUUUAGUGACAGCAAAUGGUGAAGAGUUCUGGAGCGAAAAAGCCUUAGAAGAAAGUAAAUAAAGAGACAAAUUCACAUAAAAUUUUUUAUAUAAACAUCUUUUUCUCACUUUGUAAAUAAAAAUACAAUCAUGGGGAAUCAAGAGAAUUGAUUAUUACUGUGAGGAGAAAGCACUUGUCUUUCUUAUAUUGAUCAUUGGGUUAUAUUUUAUUUCAUCUGUUUCUAUAUUCUAGUAUUUCAAAUAUAAAAUAUUUAAGAU